This is a long non-coding RNA of Equus caballus (horse), 2182 nucleotides long. The record is from Ensembl. NCBI's taxonomy places the organism in Eukaryota, Metazoa, Chordata, Mammalia, Perissodactyla, Equidae.
GUCCUUUGCUGCUUGUUCUGGGGAAAGCAAGUCAGAGGUAUGAGGCUCUUGGGCUUCUCCUGCCACCACCCAGCAUCCCUGGCUGCAGGCUCUGUCCCUCAGCCCAGCCCCGAGGGAGGCGGUGGUGGCUCUUUCCAGAGAUGCCCCCACCACUACCCCAAUGGUAUUCACGCCCCAGUGUAGGUCCUGUCCCUUUCUCUUGAAUCUGGGCUGGCUCUGUGACUUGCUUAUUGCCAAUGGAAUGUGGUAGAAGCAAGGCUACACGACUUCCACGUCAAAAGCAGCCUUGCAGUGGCUGCCUUGGUCUUCUGGAACAGCCUCUGGGAGCCCUGAGCUGCUGUGUAGAAGUCCGACUACCUGAGGCUGCCGUGCUGGAGAGACCUGCUACAGGUGCUCCAGUAGACACUCGCCACCAAGCCCAGCCUGCUUGCCACCAGGCCACCGGACAGUGAGGGAAGCUGUUCUGGACCUUCUGCAAUGGCCCAUCUACCAGCUGAAUGCUGUCAAGUGACCUCAGUCAGGGUCACGCAGGGCAGAAGGAUCACCCAGCUGUGCAGUGCCUGCAUGAACUCCUGACCACGAAACCAUGAGACACGGUGCCUGAGGAAACCCUGCCAGCCGCAUGGCCCAGCUCUGAGGCCCACUGGGGGCCAUGCAGUGAAGUGUUGCUUCAUGCAGCUUCUCACCUAGUCCUCACAAGGGGCCUCUGGUGGAGGAAUCCUGUUGGGCUCGUUUGCAGAGAAGCCACAGAGAAGGUGAGUAACUUCCCUCUUGGUGGGGCUGGACGCUGGGAGGCAGGCUGGGCCAGCCCAGGGUGUGAUUUGAAGGCUGGGAUGGGAAAUAACAUUUGCAGGUGCCUGUGAUGCUCCAGACAGGGUGCAGGUGGCUCCCACACAUUAUGUCAUCUACUCUUCACAACCCUGAAUGCCUUAGAGAUGAGGCCUCUGAGGCCCUGACAGGACAGGAAACCUCCCCAACUCACCACUAGUAAGCCAAGAUUCUAAAGCCGUUUUCACAGCCAGUCCGCCCUGGCCCCUCCUCAUGUUAUGGGUUGUCUAUGGGCAUUGCCCGCCCGCCGCACCGCCCCCAGAUCACUGGGUCAGAACAAAGCAGAAGAGCCAAGCCCCACACUGGCCGCCCUUGCCUGGGCCGCAUGCAGGCCACCUGCUGGGCAGCUCCCAGGCCCUCUGAACUGGGCAGCAAACCACGGGCAAGGCCGAGCCCAUUCUGGAGCUUACACAAGGCUCUCUCUGUUCUGGAAGCAAUUCAGAGACGGCAGCCAUCCCGUGCUCCCCGGUGAAAUGAGGGAGUGUUUGCUCCUGCUGUGAGCUGAUUUUCGGUGGCCUGAUCAGCAGCAGCUUGCUCUUAGUAAAACAAACAGCCUCAUGUGAAAAAACCUUCGUCCAGUUACAUCCAGGAUCAACAGGGGAGGGGUCUGAAGGUACCGCACCCCACUCCACCCGCCCGGCUCCCCUCCCUUGGCUGCUGAGGGUGGAAUCCCAUUUAAACAAUUGCCUGAGCCAGAAGGAACAUUUGAGUCAUUAAUUUCCUGCUCGCUGUGAGAGAAGGCGCACGGAGCUGGCCCAGGCAAGGCCCUUGUGCCCAUUUGUCUUCACACCGUCACUCUGAGUGAGACUCAGGGAGAGCCGUGGAGCCCUUGGAAAUACGGGGACUUAUUCUAGCCACGAUUCCCAGGCCAGAGGAUUGGCAUGGCAAAUGGACAUUAAGGGGAGCUGUUUGGUGAGAAGCCCUCUAAGUCAGAGAUAGAGCCCGAGGUUCUGUCCAGGGCUCUCUCAGCACCCUGCCCGGUGACUUCCAUCAUUCCCUCAUUUGUCUCUUCAUCCCUUCAUUCAUCACAUCCAUACCGAAUGGCCGCUGGGGGCUAGUCUUUGUUACAGACGUCUCGGUUUUCUCCAGCAGAGCCAACCUGCUGGAGGUGAGGCCCAGCUCUUCAAAUAAGUGAGGCUGUUGGCAGCUUCGGCAUCCUGCAAGGGAAGCUGGAGGCUGUCCUUGAGGCAGAAUCGCCCCUGUCCUGGCAGCAGCAGCUCUGGUGGCUUUCUAUGUGGUUGUAUACCCGAAGCAAAUCCAGACUCCCUGCUCUCAGGGCAGCCCUGAGCCUGCAAGAGGACACACAGACCCAGAUUCUUUAAAAAAUAACGGCUUUGAGGCCGACCCGGUGGUG